GGGGUUGUGGCUCAGUGGUAGAGCACUCAUCUAGCAUAUGUGAAGCACUGGGUUCAAUCCUCAGCACCA
Molecule: transfer RNA, 69 nt
Filed under: Ictidomys tridecemlineatus (thirteen-lined ground squirrel)
Lineage: Eukaryota; Metazoa; Chordata; Mammalia; Rodentia; Sciuridae
Description: Spermophilus tridecemlineatus (thirteen-lined ground squirrel) tRNA
Rfam family: tRNA
About the family: Transfer RNA (tRNA) molecules are approximately 80 nucleotides in length. Their secondary structure includes four short double-helical elements and three loops (D, anti-codon, and T loops).
Source: Rfam by way of RNAcentral